CAUAGGGGCACACAUGCACACACAUACACAUACGAGCACGCAUACCUUCAUUGCCGCAUGCGGAGCAGACAUAAGAGAACAAGCAGCGGAAUCUACUUGGUGAAGAAUGGUCGCAUGCCUGUGUAUCUUUUCUUUGUUCUCUCGCUUGUAUUAUGUGGAAUAUAGUAUCUCUUGAUGUUUGUGUACCUCUCUUCCUCUCCCUCCAUAUCAAUGUAGGCCCGUCAGAUUUUUGGGGGGUUUCUCUUUUUUUUUUCGGCAUGUGUGACAUCGCCACUGUCAUUGCGGUCGAAGCGCUACCUGUACAUUUGCGUGCCCUGCUUUCCCUCGACCGCUUGUUUCCCCACCUCCCCUCCCCUCUCUCCUCUCUUCUGUGAAUGUGUGUGUGAGUGUCAUUUAUUUUUUAUUGUCGCUUGCUUUGCUGUGCCUGCCAAGCACACUCCAUCUCCCCUUUUUUUCGUAAACUUGGUUUGUUUGCUGCCACGUAACCACCCACUCUCACUCUCCCUCUCCCUCCCUCUCUUAGCCUUCUAUGUGCGUGCAUGUCUCUUUUCGCUUCCUCUCUGUUCCCUCGCGUCGUAUUUUUCCUUCUUUGCUGUCUCGUUGCUCUUCUGCUCUGUUGUCGUUUUCCGUUCGCUUGUAGUCUUCCUCUCCCUCCCUCAUCCUCAUCCCAUCAACUCCGCCCUCCUCUCCUGCCCCUUCUCUUCCCAGAAGGAACGGUAUGGUCAUACUCGCCCCUACGCAUCAUCCCUUUUACACAUACACGCAAACACUGCGCACUUCACCUUACAUCUUAUCCACCCACCCCGCGCCCUUCUCCCCCUUUCCUUUCGUCUUCAUGUCCUCCGCACCCCACCCUCGCCUCCAUCACCGCCAGACCACACCAUCCCUUUGCUCUGCUUGCUCUUGGCAGAGAUGGAGAAGACGAGCAGACGGUGACGUGAAGCGAGAGGGGUAGGAUGGAGUGCGGGCAGCGGAACACUGCACACGAAGUGUUCCGCUUCUGGAUACAACUUGCGUGUGUGCUUCGUGCAAGAAUCACCUCGGUGCCGAGGAGCCUGAAGAAGAGCAAAAGAGGGCGAGGAGGCGCAGUGAAAGGAACGUAAAUGGAGGGCGGCGAUAAGGAAACAGACAAGCAUGCAAGCAAAACAACAGCCAACGCGCACACACACACACACAUAUAUAUAUAUAUAUAUGUGUGUGUGUGUGUAUGUUUCUGGCCAUGUACUUUCAACAUAAGGGGGGAGGGAGGGACAUAGACACAUCCGUGGGAGGCUGAAUAAGAAAGACGGGAAAAAAAAGAGUAGAGAGACUUGGUUAGAAAAUCUGUGUUACACGAAAACACAAACACACGCUCCCUGUGAGGUCGGCCUUUUUAUUUUCGAUUGUGUGUGCGUGUGUUCCCUUCUUUCGUUUUUCCUUCAUCAGCUGACACUAGCACCACACCGCCUUUUCUCGUUCUCCGUGCACCCUGCCUCUGCGGUAUCGCUUUUCCUUUGGGGUAUUCUUUUAUUAUUAUUUGGAUUACGCAAUUGCCUCCCGCUGCGUUGACUGGUUACCAGCUCGCUCGUUGUCAGUCAAAUGCGGUGCUCGAUGCCUUCCUAUUUCUCCCUCCAUCCCUCCUCCUUUGAAACUUCAGUCGACAGCCCCUCCCCUCCCCCUCCCCCUCCCCCACACACUAUCCUCUCUCACAAAAUCGAUCCGGUCCUGUAGAUUGAAUAACGACUCUAUAUGUGUUUUAGUGUUUCAUCGUUUGUUUUUUUUUACUUAGCAGGCUCCUUCGGGGAGCAGCAUCUCGGAGAGGGAUGGGAAGACGAGAGAGGCACACACGGAUACACACAUACCAGUGUGCAGCUGUAAGACCACUAAACGCAAGUAAAAACUAACGAGAAGUACGAUUGCUGGGUACCUUUCAAAGAAUACGUGGGCGUGAGGAGGGAAGAUAGAGGUGUGUGCUUCCUUGGUAGUGUUUCUGUAUGUGUCAGCAGAUAACUUGCCUAGUAAAGAGCCUCCGGACACCCCUUCCUCACUUCCGUGUUCUUUACACGGUGUUACGGCUGCAUGUUGCACAGUAGUGAGGAUGCCCGUGUGAACGGUGUUCUGCUACGGGCCGUAACUCUCCUGCUGUGUACGCACCAUCUCCCUCCUUGUUGUGGCUAAGUUGCCCCGACUCGCGUCGUCGCGUCUUCGAGUUGGUCACUCACUCUCCAUCUCUACAUUGCUUUCUGCAUCCUCCUUCCCCUCCCCGUCCCCAUAUCAUCAUCCCGCCCUACAUGCGUGUGAUUUAGAGGGCGAAAGGGGCGGAAAGUGGGAGAGAGAGCGAUUAGCUGGGCGCUUGCACGCAUCAAUGUACGGUCUAAGACCUCUUUUACCUGCUAUUCUUCAAAACGGAAACCCUCCCCCCGCGGACGAGCCUCGACAAAUGAAAAAAAAAAGUUUGGCCUUUCUCACACUCGGUAUGUGUGUGUGUGUGCGUGUGUGUGUUUUUGUGCGCGCUUCAAGCGACUUUCUGCUCCCUCUUCGCUUCGUUCCUACGGUUCCACCGCUGAUGUAACGGGUGGGCCGAGGCCGAAGAAUAGUAAGAAAAGGCACGCCGUUCGCAUUGGUCGCGCUUUCUCACCCUCUGACGGUCUAUAUGGUCCUCUUCAUAUCAGCCAGCAAAAUAUUCGCCGAUCCUCUUUUUUUCUGUCUUUUGCCUUCAUUGAUUACACGAAUGAGACCAUCCGGUCAG
Molecule: unclassified non-coding RNA, 2728 nt
Filed under: Leishmania donovani
Lineage: Eukaryota; Euglenozoa; Kinetoplastea; Trypanosomatida; Trypanosomatidae
Description: gene:unknown
Source: RNAcentral